CCUACGGGGGGCAGCAGUGAGGAAUAUUGGUCAAUGGGCUCGAGCCUGAACCAGCCAAGUAGCGUGAAGGAUGACUAUCCUACGGGUUGUAAACUUCUUUUAUAAAGGAAUAAAGUGAGGCACGUGUGCCUUUUUGUAUGUACUUUAUGAAUAAGGAUCGGCUAACUCCGUCCAGCAGCCGCGGUGAUACGGGGGGUCCGAGCGUUAUCCGGAUUUAUUGGGUUUAAAGGGGGCGUAGAUGGGUUGUUAAGUUCGUUGGGAAAGUUUGCGGCUCAACCGUAAAAUUGCAAUUGAUACUGGCAGUCUUGAGUACAGUUGAGGUAGGCGGAAUUCGUGGUGUAGCGGUGAAAUGCUUAGAUAUCACGAAGAACUCCGAUUGCGAAGGCAGCUUACUAAACUGCCACUGACAUUGAUGCUCGAAAGUGUGGGUAUCAAACAGGAUUAGAUACCCGUGUAGUC
RNAcentral lists this ribosomal RNA (459 nucleotides) under uncultured bacterium. RNAcentral describes it as "partial 16S ribosomal RNA". It matches the Rfam family "Bacterial small subunit ribosomal RNA", at positions 338 to 795 of the family's 1533-position model. The record is from RNAcentral.